GUUGUCCAUAACAUUCCCGGGUGUACUUCCUUUGUACAUAAAUUUUAGGGGGGUCAUUCACAUUGAAAAUGCAUCUCCAUAAAAAUCCUCAUCACCCCCUAGCCAUUAAUUUUGGACGGUGCCUUGGGGCACAAAAUAUACUAUUCAAAAAGAAACGCAUAACCCAGAAAUCUGUUGCGAUAAUG
Haliotis rubra (blacklip abalone) is the source of this 185-nucleotide long non-coding RNA. RefSeq lists it as uncharacterized. NCBI's taxonomy places the organism in Eukaryota, Metazoa, Mollusca, Gastropoda, Lepetellida, Haliotidae. The transcript has 3 exons. The record is from RefSeq and is a predicted model, not a curated record.